Molecule: long non-coding RNA, 403 nt
Organism: Homo sapiens (human)
Lineage: Eukaryota; Metazoa; Chordata; Mammalia; Primates; Hominidae
Gene: TPT1-AS1
Product: TPT1 antisense RNA 1
Source: Ensembl
UUUACACCCCGCCACUCCUGAGCACCGCACACCGGCUUCCUCCCAGUCCCUCAUCUGAGAACUCAUGAAGCCACUUGGAAUCCCUCUCUGCUUUGCCUGGCUCAUUCCAUGUCAAUUUCAGAUCUUCACUUCAGGUCAGCUCCAAGGAGGCUAUCCUUGCCCAUCUUCCUAAAAUAGAGCUCUCAAAACCUGGCUGUUUUCCUUCAGAGCACUGGCCUCCAAUUUAAAUCCCAAGUAAGGUACCUGCCGUCGGCAGAUUUGAGCUUUCUUCUUGGACACCUAAUACCCAGAGUCCUCCAGGCUCCGGUAGAUUGCAAAUGACCUGCUUUCUUUCUGUUCCCGGGCGGCAUCGGACCCGUCGGAGAGUAAAUCCCAAGUAAGGUACCUGCCGUUGGCAGAUUUG